This 465-nucleotide ribosomal RNA is filed under the name uncultured bacterium. RNAcentral's name for it is "partial 16S ribosomal RNA". It matches the Rfam family "Bacterial small subunit ribosomal RNA", at positions 28 to 507 of the family's 1533-position model. The record is from RNAcentral.
GACGAACGCUGGCGGCGUGCUUAACACAUGCAAGUCGUACGGUAAGGCCCUUUCGGGGGUACUCGAGUGGCGAACGGGUGCGUAACACGUGAGUAACCUGCCCACAACUUUGGGAUAACGCUAGGAAACUGGUGCUAAUACUGGAUAUGUGCUCCUGCUGCAUGGUGGGGGUUGGAAAGCUCCGGCGGUUGUGGAUGGACUCGCGGCCUAUCAGCUUGUUGGUGGGGUAGUGGCCUACCAAGGCGGCGACGGGUAGCCGGCCUGAGAGGGUGACCGGCCACAUUGGGACUGAGAUAAGGCCCAGACACCGACGGGAGGCAGCAGGGGGGAAUAUUGAACAAUGGGCGCAAGCCGGAUGCAGCAACGCCGCGUGCGGGAUGACGGCCUUCGGGUUGUAAACCGCUUUCAGCAGGGACGAAGCUUUUUGUGACGGUACCUGCAGAAGAAGCACCGGCUAACUACGUG